UUUGAUCCUGGCUCAGGAUGAACGCUGGCGGCGUGCUUAACACAUGCAAGUCGAACGAGAAACUUGGUAUUUAUAUCGAGUGGACAGUGGCGGACGGGUGAGUAACACGUUGGUGACCUGUCCCGAAGAGGGGGACAACCGUGGGAAACGACGGCUAAUACCCCAGAUGUCGAGAAGUUUAGACGCUCUUGACUAAAACUCCGGUGCUUCGGGAGGGGCCUGCGGGCUAUCAGCUAGUUGGUGGGGUAAAGGCCUACCAAGGCAAAGACGGCUAGGGGGCGUGAGAGCGCGACCCCCCACAAUGGGACUGAGACACGGCCCAUACUCCUACGGGAGGCAGCAGUGAGGAAUAUUGCACAAUGGGGGAAACCCUGAUGCAGCAACGCCGCGUGGAUGACGAAGGCCUUAGGGUCGUAAAAUCCUUUUCUAAAGGAAGAAGAUGACGGUACUUUAGGAAUAAGUCCCGGCUAACUACGUGCCAGCAGCCGCGGUAAAACGUAGGGGGCGAACGUUAUCCGGAUUUACUGGGCGUAAAGCGCGCGUAGGCGGCUGUGUAAGUUGGACGUGAAAGCCUUUGGCUUAACCAAGGGAGGUCGUUCAAAACUGCAUAGCUUGAGGAUGGGAGAGGAGAGUGGAAUUCCCGGUGUAGUGGUGGAAUGCGUAGAUAUCGGGAGGAACACCAGUGGCGAAGGCGGCUCUCUGGACCAUACCUGACGCUGAGGUGCGAAAGCGUGGGGAGCGAACAGGAUUAGAUACCCUGGUAGUCCACGCCGUAAACGAUGGAUACUAGUGUAGGGCGUGGUAAACACACACUGUGCCGAAGAAAACGCGAUAAGUAUCCCGCCUGGGGAGUACGGCCGCAAGGUUAAAACUCAAAGGAAUUGACGGGGGCCCGCACAAGCAGCGGAGCGUGUGGUUUAAUUCGAUGAUACGCGAAAAACCUUACCUGGGUUUGACAUGUUGGUAGUAGGGAAGCGAAAGCGGAACGACCCUUCGGGGAGCCAUCACAGGUGCUGCAUGGCUGUCGUCAGCUCGUGUCGUGAGAUGUUGGGUUAAGUCCCGCAACGAGCGCAACCCUCGUUGCUAGUUACAUGUGUCUAGCGAGACUGCCGGUUUCAAACCGGAGGAAGGUGGGGAUGACGUCAAGUCAGCAUGGUCUUUAUAUCCAGGGCUACACACACGCUACAAUGGCCAGUACAACAGGUUGCCACACCGCGAGGUGAAGCUAAUCCCUAAAGCUGGUCUCAGUUCGGAUUGCAGUCUGCAACUCGACUGCAUGAAGGUGGAGUUGCUAGUAACCGCCGUCAGCAAUAGUGCGGUGAAUGCGUUCCCGGGCCUUGUACACACCGCCCGUCACAUCAUGGAAGUUGGUAACACCUGAAGUCGGUGACCUAACCGCAAGGAGGGAACUGCCUAAGGUGGGACCGGUAACUGGGAUGAAGUCGUAACAAGGUA
Molecule: ribosomal RNA, 1455 nt
Filed under: uncultured prokaryote
Description: partial 16S ribosomal RNA
Rfam family: Bacterial small subunit ribosomal RNA
Source: RNAcentral